RNAcentral lists this ribosomal RNA (163 nucleotides) under Salmonella enterica subsp. enterica serovar Blegdam. RNAcentral's name for it is "partial 23S ribosomal RNA". It matches the Rfam family "Bacterial large subunit ribosomal RNA", at positions 2780 to 2925 of the family's 2925-position model. Lineage: Bacteria; Pseudomonadati; Pseudomonadota; Gammaproteobacteria; Enterobacterales; Enterobacteriaceae. The record is from RNAcentral.
UCUAAGCACGAAACUUGCCCCGAGAUGAGUUCUCCCUGAGACUUAAAGUCUCCUGAAGGAACGUUGAAGACGACGACGUUGAUAGGCCGGGUGUGUAAGCGCAGCGAUGCGUUGAGCUAACCGGUACUAAUGAACCGUGAGGCUUAACCUUACAACGCCGAAG